Molecule: RNase P RNA, 358 nt
Filed under: Deferribacteraceae bacterium
Lineage: Bacteria; Pseudomonadati; Deferribacterota; Deferribacteres; Deferribacterales; Deferribacteraceae
Description: RNase P RNA component class A
Rfam family: Bacterial RNase P class A
About the family: Ribonuclease P (RNase P) is a ubiquitous endoribonuclease, found in archaea, bacteria and eukarya as well as chloroplasts and mitochondria.
Source: RNAcentral
AAAGAAAGCCGGGCAGUCGCUGGCAGAUAUGAAUAAUAUUUAUCAGAGGAAAGUCCGGACACCAACGGACAGGAUGGUCGGUAACGCCGACCUGUUGUGAAACAGGGAUAGCGCCACAGAAAACAAACCGCCUGCGGAUGAAACGGCGAAAGUCUGUUUUUAUCCGCGGGUAAGGGUGAAACGGCGAGGUAAGAGCUCACCGCGUUUAUGGUGACAUAAAUGGCACGGCAGGCCCCAUCCGGUGCAAGGCAAACAGCGGUUAGGCGCUGUCCGUCGUAAAACUGCGGGUAUGCUGCAUAGAGAAAUGACUGCCGCCCGUCUGAGGGUACAGAAUCCGGCUUAUAGGCUUUCUUUUUUU